Molecule: ribosomal RNA, 631 nt
Filed under: uncultured bacterium
Lineage: Bacteria
Description: bacterial SSU rRNA
Rfam family: Bacterial small subunit ribosomal RNA
Source: RNAcentral
CUGGGCGUAAGAGCAUGUAGGCGGGUAUUUAAGUCAGGAGUGAAAACUAUGGGCUCAACCCAUAGCCUGCUCUUGAAACUGGAUACCUUGAGGGUAUGAGAGGAAAGCGGAAUUCCCAGUGUAGCGGUGAAAUGCGUAGAUAUUGGGAGGAACACCAGUGGCGAAGGCGGCUUUCUGGCAUACAACUGACGCUGAGAUGCGAAAGCGUGGGGAGCGAACGGGAUUAGAUACCCCGGUAGUCCACGCCGUAAACGAUGGGUACUAGGUGUAGGAGGUAUCGACCCCUUCUGUGCCGUAGUUAACACAAUAAGUACCCCGCCUGGGGAGUACGGCCGCAAGGUUGAAACUCAAAGGAAUUGACGGGGGCCCGCACAAGCGGUGGAGCAUGUGGUUUAAUUCGACGCAACGCGAAGAACCUUACCAGGGCUUGACAUCCUCUGACGUCCUAAGAGAUUAGGAGUUUAGGAGCUUGCUCUUAACAGAGAGACAGGUGGUGCAUGGUUGUCGUCAGCUCGUGUCGUGAGAUGUUGGGUUAAGUCCCGCAACGAGCGCAACCCUUAUCUUUAGUUGCCAGCAAUUCGGUUGGGCACUCUAGAGAGACUGCCGGUGACAAACCGGAGGAAGGUGGGGA